GAUGAACGCUGACAGAAUGCUUAACACAUGCAAGUCAACUUGAAUUUGGGUUUUUAACUUAGAUUUGGGUGGCGGACGGGUGAGCAACGCGUAAAGAACUUGCCUCACAGCUAGGGACAACAUUUAGAAAUGAAUGCUAAUACCUGAUAUUAUGAUUUUAAGGCAUCUUAGAAUUAUGAAAGCUAUAGGCACUGUGAGAGAGCUUUGCGUCCCAUUAGCUAGUUGGAGAGGUAACAGCUCACCAAGGCAAUGAUGGGUAGCCGGCCUGAGAGGGUGAACGGCCACAAGGGGACUGAGACACGGCCCUUACUCCUACGGGAGGCAGCAGUGGGGAAUAUUGGACAAUGGACCGAGAGUCUGAUCCAGCAAUUCUGUGUGCACGAUGAAGUUUUUCGGAAUGUAAAGUGCUUUCAGUUGGGAAGAGAAAAAUGACGGUACCAACAGAAGAAGUGACGGCUAAAUACGUGCCAGCAGCCGCGGUAAUACGUAUGUCACGAGCGUUAUCCGGAUUUAUUGGGCGUAAAGCGCGUCUAGGUGGUUAUGUAAGUCUGAUGUGAAAAUGCAGGGCUCAACUCUGUAUUGCGUUGGAAACUGUAUAACUAGAGUACUGGAGAGGUAAGCGGAACUACGAGUGUAGAGGUGAAAUUCGUAGAUAUUUGUAGGAAUGCCGAUGGGGAAGCCAGCUUACUGGACAGAUACUGACGCUAAAGCGCGAAAGCGUGGGUAGCAAACAGG
RNAcentral lists this ribosomal RNA (735 nucleotides) under uncultured Fusobacterium sp. Its description in RNAcentral is "bacterial SSU rRNA". It matches the Rfam family "Bacterial small subunit ribosomal RNA", at positions 28 to 776 of the family's 1533-position model. The record is from RNAcentral. Lineage: Bacteria; Fusobacteriati; Fusobacteriota; Fusobacteriia; Fusobacteriales; Fusobacteriaceae.